GACGAACGCUGGCGGCGUGCUUAACACAUGCAAGUCGAACGAUGAAGCUGGAGCUUGCUCCGGUGGAUUAGUGGCGAACGGGUGAGUAACACGUGAGUAAUCUGCACUUGACUCUGGGAUAACUGCGGGAAACUGUAGCUAGUACCGGAUACGACACCUUCGGGCAUCCGAUGGGUGUGGAAAGAAUUUCGGUCAAGGAUGAACUCGUGGCCUAUCAGCUAGUUGGUGAGGUAAUGGCUCACCAAGGCGACGACGGGUAGCCGGCCUGAGAGGGUGACCGGCCACACUGGGACUGAGACACGGCCCAGACUCCUACGGGAGGCAGCAGUGGGGAAUAUUGCACAAUGGGCGAAAGCCUGAUGCAGCAACGCCGCGUGAGGGAUGAAGGCCUUCGGGUUGUAAACCUCUUUUAGUUGGGAAGAAGCGAAAGUGACGGUACCAACAGAAAAAGCACCGGCUAACUACGUGCCAGCAGCCGCCGUAA
This 484-nucleotide ribosomal RNA is filed under the name uncultured bacterium. RNAcentral describes it as "partial 16S ribosomal RNA". It matches the Rfam family "Bacterial small subunit ribosomal RNA", at positions 28 to 523 of the family's 1533-position model. The record is from RNAcentral.